GACGAACGCUGGCGGCGUGCCUAACACAUGCAAGUCGAACGAAGCUUGAUUACGGAUUCUUCGGCUGAAGUAUGAUAUGACUGAGCGGGCGACGGGUGAGUAACGAGUGCGUAAAAUGCCGUUCAGAGGGGGAUAGCGUUCGGCAACGAACGGUAAUACCGCAUUAUGUAUUUCGACCGCUUGAUCGACAUCCCAAAGAUUUAGCGCCGAAGGAUGGACUCGGGUCUGAGUAGGUCGGUGGUGAGGUAAAGCCCUACCAAGCCGACGAUCAGUAGCCGGACUGGGGAGUUGGACGGCCACAUUUGGACGGAGGCACGGCCCAGACUCCUACGGGAAGCAGCAGUGGGGGAAAUUUGACAAUUGGCGCAAGCCUUGAGCAGCAACGGCGCGUGAAGGAAUACAGUUUUCGGAUUGGAAACGUCUGUUCUUAGUGAAGGAUAAUGACGGUAGCUAAAGAGCAAGCCACGGCUAACUACGUG
RNAcentral lists this ribosomal RNA (479 nucleotides) under uncultured bacterium. Its description in RNAcentral is "partial 16S ribosomal RNA". It matches the Rfam family "Bacterial small subunit ribosomal RNA", at positions 28 to 507 of the family's 1533-position model. The record is from RNAcentral.